CGUACACUCCUGCGGGAGGCAGCAGUGGGGAAUAUUAGACAAUGGGCGCAAGCCUGAUCCAGCCAUGCCGCGUGAGUGAUGAAGGCCCUAGGGUUGUAAAGCUCUUUCACCGGUGAAGAUAAUGACGGUAACCGGAGAAGAAGCCCCGGCUAACUUCGUGCCAGCAGCCGCGGUAAUACGAAGGGGGCUAGCGUUGUUCGGAUUUACUGGGCGUAAAGCGCACGUAGGCGGACUAUUAAGUCAGGGGUGAAAUCCCGGGGCUCAACCCCGGAACUGCCUUUGAUACUGGUAGUCUUGAGUUCGAGAGAGGUGAGUGGAAUUCCGAGUGCAGAGGUGAAAUUCGUAGAUAUUCGGAGGAACACCAGUGGCGAAGGCGGCUCACUGGCUCGAUACUGACGCUGAGGUGCGAAAGCGUGGGGAGCAAACAGGAUUAGAAACCCCGGUAGUCC
Molecule: ribosomal RNA, 449 nt
Filed under: uncultured organism
Description: partial 16S ribosomal RNA
Rfam family: Bacterial small subunit ribosomal RNA
Source: RNAcentral